Molecule: long non-coding RNA, 4982 nt
Filed under: Sus scrofa (pig)
Lineage: Eukaryota; Metazoa; Chordata; Mammalia; Artiodactyla; Suidae
Description: lncRNA (ENSSSCG00000055234.1)
Source: RNAcentral
UUACACUUAAAGAUAUUUAAAUUGCUCAAUAUGCCACCAGAUGGCUUCAAUUUAAAUUCAGUUAAUUUGGAGUUCCCGUCGCAGCUCAGCGGUAACAAACCUGACUAGUAUCCAUGAGACUGAGGUUUUGAUCCCUGGCCUCACUCAGUGAGUUUAAGGAUUUGGAGUUGCUGUUGUUGUGGCUGUGGCAUAGGUCAGCAGCUGCAGCUCUGAUUCGAUCCUUAGCCUGGGAACUUCCAUAUGUUGUGGGUACAGCCCUAAAAAAGAAAAAAAAUUCAACUAAUUUAUUGAUUUGUAAGUGUAUGUUCUUAAUAAUUGCAGAUAUAUAUUCAUUAGUGUUCAUUCCAAAGUGGGUGGAGGGGAGAACUGUGGAUUUUAACCUCUGUAGUUCUCCCUUAUAGGUCUUCCCUUAUAUUUGUUAUAGCUAAAAACACACAAAUUUUAGUGAAAAUAUUUUUCUAACUACCUAUUUUCUUCCCUUCUCAUAUAUGUGCCAAUUUGUAAAAUUCUAGUAUCCUAAAUUUUCAUGUGAGAAACCUGUAUCUGGUAUAAAGAAAGACUCUUACUAAUUCUUAUUUUAUUCUUUGACCCAAAGUAUCAUAAAUACUUUUCUCUAUGCCUAAUAUUCCCACAGGUUUUUGUGUUUUGUGUUUUGUUUUAUUUAAACUACUUUUGGGAGUUCCUGUCGUGGCGCAGUGGUUAACGAACCCGACUAAGAACCAUGAGGUAGUGGGUUUGAUCCCUGGCCUCACUCAGUGGGUUAACAAUCUGGCAUUGCCAUGAGCUGUGGUGUAGGUUGCAGACGUGGCUCGGAUCUGGCGUUGCUGUGGCUGUGGCUGUGGCUGUGGCUGUGGCUGUGGCGUAGGCCGGCACCUGUAGCUCUGAUUGACCCCUAGCCUGGGAACCUCUAUAUGCUACGGGUGCGGCCCUAGGAAAAGACAAAAAGACCCCCCCCCCAAAAAAAAAACCCCAAAAAACCUACUUUUAGACCAAGGCUAGUCUCCAAGUCUCUGCCAUCUAGUGGCAAUAUUGAAGACAUACUGGUUUCCUACACACCUCAGAGUGCAUAAAUAUUGGUAAGCUGGCCAAGAAAUAUUAAGAAUCAUAAACAAAUUAAUGAUUAAUCUUUGUAUUUACUCUUUAGUUCAAAGUACUGAGCUAUAUGUUUACAUAACACUUUUUUAUGACUUUAUUAGCCUUUUUUAAAAAAAUGUUAACUGCCUGAAAUAUAAAACCUGGGACUUCAAGACAUAUUAAUUUAUUAUUAGUGUCUAACCCCUUAUAACUAGGCAGCAGAUGGAUUUUACAAAGACAUUCAUUUCUGUUUGCAGUGUAAGCAGAAGACAAUAAGAAUUUGUAAGUUUUUCUCAGUUUUUGUAUUACCUACAGUCAAUUUAAGUUCUUAAGUUCUGAUUUAUAUAUAAUAUAUGUAUAUAUAGAUGGAUAACAUUAUGUUUGUCAUAUUAAAAUCUCAUUCCUUAAGAUAUGUAAAAUCUAUUGUUGGUAAUGUCUUUAUUGGCAACAUUAUAAUAAAGUUUUUUAAAAGCCACUUUAUAAUAAGUAUAUUACAUUACUCAUAAGUUAUGCCUAUUUGAGUGAUCUACUUUCAUAAAAUUUGCAGCAUAAUGUUUGAUUUAGAUCACCUAAUUUUAUUCAAGGACAGAAAAAUACUUGUUUAAUUAAAAGUGGAAAGUGCCCAAGGUUAGUUUAAAAAGUAAUAUUAAAUACAAGCAUUUAAAAUGGAAAUGAGGUGAUUUGUUUACAUCAUGGACACAUUUUAGCUCACUCCUGAGUAAAUGUUAAUUUUUAAAAAAGAAAAUCAUGUCAGACAUGUAGGCAACAUAUUCAGUAAUAACUUGGGCAGGGAUUUUCAUAAAUCAUGCUUCCAGAUACUCAGCUGUAGCAUUUAUAUUCAAAUGAAUCCAAAUCUCAUUAUUAUGGAUGAAUUUAGAGAGGAUAAGUUUAGAACUUAAUCCUCAAUAGAUUAUCCUGUUUGGAACUGACACUGGCAUACUGUGACUCUUUCCAUCUCUUCAGAAUAAUUAGUGUGUGUGUUUGUAAAUUAUAAAAUCAUUCAUUUGCAAUGUAGCUGCACAGGGGAGGGGGUGCAGAGGCUAGUGAAUACCACGUGACGAAUGCAUCCUUUUUCUGCCCAAAUGUCAUUGAGUAGUUUGUGAUGUGUACAAGAACCAAACCCCUAUUGUUUCGAUUUGUGUAUGCGUUUGCCUAUUCUUUGUGUGUGAUUAACAAUCAGUUUCCAGUGUUGAUGAGUUUCCAGCAGAAGUUUGCUUGAUAUGCACACAGAAAGAAAUAUUUUAAUUUUCUCAGAAAGAUCUACACAUUUUGUGCCUUAGAAGCCUGGAUCUUAUCCUCUUGUUGUUUGAAUGCCAAGGCCAGACAGACAGCUAAACGAACCCCAGCCCAGAAAUCUGUAUAAAUAAGGACUUGUAAAAAGAGAGAGAAUGGACAAUGAAGGGGUGGACAGAAAAUGCAACGUUCAGUCUUGUAAUGGAGGCUGUUCUUUGAAAAUCUGUAAGGUGAUGGUUUUCCCUAAGAGUGAAUAUAUGAGAAAAGAAACAGAUGUCUUUGAACUGUCUCUGAUGACGUUCAUUAUUAAUAAGAAGAGGAAAUUCAAGAAAGGUUUCACAAAUGUCAACAGAGAUAUUAUGAAAAAAAUACAGGAGUAAUAGUUGUCUGUGAAGCCACAGUACAAAGUGGGAAGAGUCGUCACCAGUUCACAGGAACCUGCAGAAGCCAGAGGGGAAAGAACAGAUUUCUGGUAACCUUGGAUUCUAGUCCAAAGGAUGGGGCUGCUGGAGUCAUUACCACUUGGUGACAGAAGAGGGAAGCAGAGAGCCACCAGGGUGGCCUGGUAGAAUUCAAAGUCAUUUUGUGGCAGGAGAAUGCUAGGGCUGGUAGGAGGGCCAGGAAGCCUCUCCAUGAUUGUUCUAGAAGCUCCAACUGGGCUGAUCAAGUGGUAAGGGUCUGCAGGGAAUGCUCCAGCAUGAUCCUUUAGCCUUAGAAUGCCUUCCUUAGGGGACCUUUCAAGUACCCACUUUAGCGUGGCUGCCAACCUGUAGCUCAGAUCCUAAGGCUGAGGCUGUAGUGCUUACUCAGAGCCUGUGAGUCCCAUUUAGCUGCGUUAGGGGCAUGGCACCAGCAGUGAUUAACUGUGGCUGGUGGCUGUCACCACCUUCCAUAUGGCCCCCACACCUCAAGGCUGUCUCUAGGGGGUCACACUUGGCAUUAAUUUCUGUGUGACAGCUGCUGAACUCCAUCUGUCUGAUGUAAACUUAAUUUCAGUACUAUUCAUUUUAGGACAAUUUAAGUACUCCAGAAGAAGUGGAACCUUUCCCUUCCCUCAAGGCUGUUUUUGGAAAAUUUGCAAGGGGAUGAUUUUGGCCAGUGGUUUUGUCACUCUUAUUCACCUGGAGUGUGAUGGGCACACCACUGUGGGGACCAAGGUCAAGUUCAAGCUUGUGAGCCAAGGUAGGAGCCAGCUAAUAUAUUGUGCCAGGAAGGUGGGGUUUAGACUCUUUAUAUUCUUCUAGGAACGGUGGCACUUUUUAUCAAGAUCAAUGAACUAUUCAUUGUGUCUGCCACGAAUGGGCAGCCCUGGCACAAUCAUGGACUGGGCCAGGGAGGUUUAAGGCCCUGGACAUAGUGAUUGGCUGGUUGUUGAUGUGUUCGUUAGGGGCUUAUUGAGGUCUACCUUCAAUGAUGUGUUUGAACCAGCUUGUCCUGACUCCUGAGAGCCCACUGUUAGCAUCUCGAUUAUAUCACAUUGGUAGCUUGAAAUUGGCCAAGAAGCCCAUUUUGCUGACAGCACCUUCCCUGCAUAGCUGGAGGAUGUAUAGUAAAUCUGGCAGGAGGUAUGGGUGCCUCAGAGUCCUGCUAUUGGCUCCACCUCCUGUGUCAUUCUCUUGAGUUCCUUUGCUCCAUUAGCUUGGCUGAGAUUUGGAUUUAGCUGGUGUUUGAUUUCAACCUCUCUGCCCAGCACUCCCUUUGAAAUCAAGCAGGGUCCUGUGGGGCUCCUGGGCACAAAAGCUGUUCUGUGUUCACCCCCACCCCCAUGCCCCAUUUCCUGUUUGUAGGAAAUAGGCUUCAUUCAGCCUCCAUGACCUUCCCUGAGUUUCAAAGGGCAGGGUCACACCAUUGCUAAUCUGGGAAUGGUGGGGAUGAGGAGAAAAAGGAGGAGCAAUGAUGAAGCAUAGUGCAGACUGGAGCAGGGUCCUGGUUCUUCCUCAAAGAAUACACGUGACUGUAUCUUUGAGCUCUUCUACAGAACUAAAACCCUCAGCAAAUAGAAGAUGUUAACUACUUGAUGAAGCACACUUCCUUUCAGAAAGGAGGACUACCAGAACCAGUCCUGAGGCUACUAAACACUAAAUUUGAAGAAGAAUGAAAGUUUGCACCUAUACUGAUCUUUAUCUGUGGCUCUAUUUUCCACUCCAAAACUAUAAGACCACCUCCUAUUCUCUCCCCAAAGAAGGCACAGUCUUUAGGGCUUUAGCCUGCUAUGGUCUCCUUUGCCUGGCAAAGCAGCUGAAACUGACCCUUAUGCCUUGAACCUAGCCAGAACCCAGACUGGGACUUGAACUCACAUUUUUAAAAAUUAGAAUCACUCAUAUGGUAUCUAGACUUACUGAGAUUCAGGUUCUUUGUGCCUUAGCACAGAAGGAAUCCAGUGAGAGACAAAGCGAUAGGCAAGAAAUAGCUUUAUUAAGAUAGGAUACUUGUGGAAUUCCCAUUGUGGCUCAGCGGUUAUCAAACCUGACUAGCAUCCAUGAGGAUGUGGGUCCAAUCCCUGGCCUCGCUCAAUGGGUUAAGGAUCUGGCGAUGCCAUGAGCUGUGGUGUAGCUCGCAGACGUGGCUCGGAUCCCGAGUUGCUGUGGCUGUGGCAUACGCUGGUGGCUACAGCUCUGAUUCAACCCCUAGCCUGGGAACCUCCAUAUGCCAUGCGGCCCUAAAAAGACAAAAAG